Molecule: ribosomal RNA, 94 nt
Filed under: Bacillus sp. OV194
Lineage: Bacteria; Bacillati; Bacillota; Bacilli; Caryophanales; Bacillaceae
Also listed under: 1 other name
Description: 23S rRNA. Bacterial LSU
Rfam family: Bacterial large subunit ribosomal RNA
Source: RNAcentral
AGACCCCUUAGAGAUGAUGAGGUUGAUAGGUCUGGUGUGGAAGCGUGGUGACACGUGGAGCUGACAGAUACUAAUCGGUCGAGGGCUUAUCCUU